Molecule: long non-coding RNA, 463 nt
Filed under: Lathyrus oleraceus (garden pea)
Lineage: Eukaryota; Viridiplantae; Streptophyta; Magnoliopsida; Fabales; Fabaceae
Description: Pisum sativum (pea) long non-coding RNA (PSAT_LNC028620)
Source: RNAcentral
UUCUUUAGUGGGAUGGGUUUGAUACUUGGGAGUAGCAUAUCUUCAUAUUUUUAUUUUUUAUGCUUACUAUUUCAUUUAAAUUUUUUUCUUUACUUUUAUAUUUUUAUCGAUUUAAUUUAACCGUUAUUUAGUUGUUUAGAUUUUUAAAUGUUUACUUUUUAGAUUUAAUUAAUGGUUGACUUCCCGAUAUUGGGUUUUAUUUGAUUAGUCGAUUUUUGUGUGUUAGUUAAUUUAAUUAGGUUAUUGGUAUCCAUGUUCAUACCUUUACACAUGUAAAUAACCAUAUUCAAAUUCACUAAUUUUUCAAUUUAAAUUUCACUAACUUUCCAUAGUUUCAACAUUAAAUUUCAUUUCCUCCCAUUAGAAUCUAGCAUUCUGAUGGGAACUCGAUUAUAUAUAAAAUUAAUUCGAUAUACAUAUAAAAUAGUAAAACUAAUUUUAUCCCUAUAACUUUAUUUUUAAA